This 73-nucleotide transfer RNA is filed under the name Clostridiaceae bacterium. RNAcentral's name for it is "tRNA-Lys". It matches the Rfam family "tRNA". Rfam says of the family: Transfer RNA (tRNA) molecules are approximately 80 nucleotides in length. Their secondary structure includes four short double-helical elements and three loops (D, anti-codon, and T loops). The record is from RNAcentral. Lineage: Bacteria; Bacillati; Bacillota; Clostridia; Eubacteriales; Clostridiaceae. RNAcentral also lists the same sequence under 1 other name.
GCGUGUGUAACUCAGUCGGAAGAGUAACCGGCUUUUAACCGGUAAGCCGUGGGUUCGAGCCCCACCACACGCA